AUUGAACGCUGGCGGCAUGCUUUACACAUGCAAGUCGAACGGUAACAGGGAGCUUGCUCCGCUGACGAGUGGCGAACGGGUGAGUAAUGCAUCGGAACGUACCCAGUCGUGGGGGAUAACGUAGCGAAAGUUACGCUAAUACCGCAUGCGCCCUUCGGGGGAAAGCCGGGGACCUUCGGGCCUGGCGCGAUUGGAUGAGCCCAUGUCGGAUUAGCUAGUUGGCGGGGUAAUGGCCCACCAAGGCGACGAUCCGUAGCUGGUCUGAGAGGAUGAUCAGCCACACUGGAACUGAGACACGGUCCAGACUCCUACGGGAGGCAGCAGUAGGGAAUAUUGCGCAAUGGGGGCAACCCUGACGCAGCAACGCCGCGUGAGUGAGGAAGGUUUUCGGACCGUAAAGCUCUGUCGAGCGGGAAGAAAUGUAUCAUGGCUAAUAUCCAUGAUACUUGACGGUACCGCUAAAGGAAGCACCGGCUAACUCCGUGCCAGC
RNAcentral lists this ribosomal RNA (490 nucleotides) under uncultured bacterium. Its description in RNAcentral is "bacterial SSU rRNA". It matches the Rfam family "Bacterial small subunit ribosomal RNA", at positions 30 to 512 of the family's 1533-position model. The record is from RNAcentral.